AAAAAAAAAAAAAAAAGUUAAGAACAGUUGGUUUUGAACAUUUCUCCCAUUAGCUAUCCAUCUCUCUCUUUCUGUGUACAGGGCUUUCUACGCUUGAGCUUUGUUCCUUUCUCUCUGUCCUUUGAUUCAGGUUUUUCUUUCCACUUAAUAUUUAAUCUUGCUUGUAUCCUUAAUCUAAAUAUGAGAUUCUGAUGUUCUAUAGAAUUUUUUGUCUUCCCUGUUUGUUGAUUGAAUCUAUGAGAAUUUGGUUUAGAUUUUCUUAUUUUAUAGGUAGCUGUUGAGUGUUUCUGGAUUUUAAUUUGAUUUGGGAUCUCAUUCGAACAAAAUAUUUGCUGCUUAUAGAUAUUUGUUUAGUGGGUACUUCUAAUUUCUGUAGUUUUUGGUCUUGCCUUCAUAAUUUGAUGGUGGACAGAUCUGGGUACUCUUAUUUAGUCGCUGAGAAGCAAAUAAAAGGAAGAUGACAAGAAUGAAAAUCUGUGUCUCAUGUGUGUGUUCCUCUACCCCUUUCAUUUGGAUUCAAAAUUUAGCUCGGAGCCAGAAUUUUUGGUUAGUGGGGGCAAAAAUUUUAUCUUCAUGUAUUUAGAAAAUAUUUUUUAAAUAUUUUUUUUAUUUACAAAAUAUUGUG
Molecule: unclassified non-coding RNA, 625 nt
Filed under: Hevea brasiliensis (rubber tree)
Lineage: Eukaryota; Viridiplantae; Streptophyta; Magnoliopsida; Malpighiales; Euphorbiaceae
Source: RNAcentral